This 655-nucleotide ribosomal RNA is filed under the name Ramaria cf. sandaracina UBC F16249. RNAcentral describes it as "eukaryotic LSU rRNA". It matches the Rfam family "Eukaryotic large subunit ribosomal RNA", at positions 1 to 618 of the family's 3401-position model. The record is from RNAcentral. Lineage: Eukaryota; Fungi; Basidiomycota; Agaricomycetes; Gomphales; Gomphaceae.
UGACCUCAAAUCAGGUAGGACUACCCGCCGAACUUAAGCAUAUCAAUAAGCGGAGGAAAAGAAACUAACGAGGAUUCCCCUAGUAACGGCGAGUGAAGCGGGAAGAGCUCAAAUUUGUAAUCUGGCGGCCUUCGGUCGUCCGAGUUGUAGUCUGGAGAAGCGUUUUCCGCGUCGGACCGUGUACAAGUCCCUUGGAACAGGGCGUCGUAGAGGGUGAGAAUCCCGUCUUUGACACGGACUGCCGGCGCUUUGCGAUGCGCUCUCGAAGAGUCGAGUUGUUUGGGAAUGCAGCUCAAAUCGGGUGGUAAAUUCCAUCUAAAGCUAAAUAUUGGCGAAAGACCGAUAGCGAACAAGUACCGUGAGGGAAAGAUGAAAAGCACUUUGGAAAGAGAGUUAAACAGUACGUGAAAUUGUUGAAAGGGAAACGCUUGAAGUCAGUCGCGUCUCCCGGGACUCAGCCUUGCGCCCCUUAACGCUUGGUGUAUUUCCUGGGACGACGGGCCAGCGUCGAUUUCGAUCGUCGGAGAAGGGCCUUUGGGAACGUGGCACCUUCGGGUGUGUUAUAGCCCUGGGUCGUAUGCGACGGUCGGGAUCGAGGAUCGCAGCACGCCCUUUUCGUAAGGGUCGGGGUUCGCCCACGUUAACGUGCUUAGGA